GACGAACGCUGGCGGCGUGCUUAAUACAUGCAAGUCGAACGCAGGGGGGACGGGUGAGUAACACGUGGGUAACCUCCCAUCAGAGGGGAGAACACUUGGCAACAGGUGCUAAAACGAUAUUGAUGGAUGGACCCGGGGUGCAUUAGCUAGUUGGUGAGGUAACGGCUCACCAAGGCCACGAUGCAUAGCCGACCUGAGAGGGUGAACGGCCACACUGGAACUGAGACACGGCCCAGACUCCUACGGGAGGCAGCAGUAGGGAAUCUUCGGCAAUGGACGAAAGUCUGACCGAGCAACGCCGCGUGAGUGAAGAAGGUUUUCGGAUCGUAAAACUCUGUUGUUAGAGAAGCGGUAUCUAACCAGAAAGCCACGGCUAACUACGUGCCAGCCGCCGCGGUAAUUC
This 403-nucleotide ribosomal RNA is filed under the name uncultured bacterium. RNAcentral's name for it is "partial 16S ribosomal RNA". It matches the Rfam family "Bacterial small subunit ribosomal RNA", at positions 28 to 526 of the family's 1533-position model. The record is from RNAcentral.